RNAcentral lists this ribosomal RNA (253 nucleotides) under uncultured bacterium. Its description in RNAcentral is "partial 16S ribosomal RNA". It matches the Rfam family "Bacterial small subunit ribosomal RNA", at positions 524 to 776 of the family's 1533-position model. The record is from RNAcentral.
UACGGGGGGGGCAAGCGUUGUUCGGAAUUACUGGGCGUAAAGGGCUCGUAGGUGGCCAACUAAGUCAGACGUGAAAUCCCUCGGCUUAACCGGGGAACUGCGUCUGAUACUGGAUGGCUUGAGUUCGGGAGAGGGAUGCGGAAUUCCAGGUGUAGCGGUGAAAUGCGUAGAUAUCUGGAGGAAUACCGGUGGCGAAGGCGGCAUCCUGGACCGAGAUUGACGCUGAUGAGCGAAAGCCAGGGGAGCAAACGGG